GACGAACGCUGGCGGCGUGCUUAACACAUGCCAGUCGAACGGAAAGGCCCUGCUUUUGGGGGGUGCUCGAGUGGCGAACGGGUGAGUAACACGUGAGUAACCUGCCCUUGACUUUGGGAUAACUUCAGGAAACUGGGGCUAAUACCGGAUAGGAGCUCCUGCUGCAUGGUGGGGGUUGGAAAGUUUCGGCGGUUGGGGAUGGACUCGCGGCUUAUCAGCUUGUUGGUGGGGUAGUGGCUUACCAAGGCUUUGACGGGUAGCCGGCCUGAGAGGGUGACCGGCCACAUUGGGACUGAAAUACGGCCCAGACUCCUACGGGAGGCAGCAGUGGGGAAUAUUGCACAAUGGGCGGAAGCCUGAUGCAGCAACGCCGCGUGCGGGAUGACGGCCUUCGGGUUGUAAACCGCUUUCGCCUGUGACGAAGCGUGAGUGACGGUAAUGGGUAAAGAAGCACCGGCUAACUACGUG
Molecule: ribosomal RNA, 468 nt
Filed under: uncultured bacterium
Lineage: Bacteria
Description: partial 16S ribosomal RNA
Rfam family: Bacterial small subunit ribosomal RNA
Source: RNAcentral